UGCUUAACACAUGCAAGUCGAACGGACUUAAGGGGCUUGCUUCUUAAGUUAGUGGCGCACGGGUGAGUAAUAUAUAGCUAACCUGCCCUUUAGUGGGGGACAACAGUUGGAAACGACUGCUAAUACCCUAUACUCCUUCUUACUAUAAGGUAAGUUGGGAAAGAUUUAUCGCUAAAGGAUGGGGCUUUAUUGUAUCAGCUAGUUGGUGGGGUAAUGGCCUACCAAGGCUAUGACGCAUACCUGGUCUGAGAGGAUGAUCAGGCACACUGGAACUGAGACACGGUCCAGACUCCUACGGGAGGCAGCAGUGGGGAAUAUUGCACAAUGGAGGAAACUCUGAUGCAGCAACGCCGCGUGGAGGAUGACGCAUUUCGGUGUGUAAACUCCUUUUAUAGGGGAAGAUAAUGACGGUACCCUAUGAAUAAGCACCGGCUAACUCCGUGCCAGCAGCCGCGGUAAUACGGAGGGUGCAAGCGUUACUCGGAAUCACUGGGCGUAAAGGAUGCGUAGGCUGGAAAUCAAGUCGAGAGUGAAAUCCAACGGCUCAACCGUUGAACUGCUCUCGAAACUGGUUACCUAGAAUAUGGGAGAGGUAGAUGGAAUUAGUGGUGUAGGGGUAAAAUCCGUAGAUAUCACUAGGAAUACCGAUUGCGAAGGCGAUCUACUGGAACAUUAUGACG
This 680-nucleotide ribosomal RNA is filed under the name uncultured bacterium. RNAcentral's name for it is "bacterial SSU rRNA". It matches the Rfam family "Bacterial small subunit ribosomal RNA", at positions 45 to 745 of the family's 1533-position model. The record is from RNAcentral.